This 204-nucleotide unclassified non-coding RNA is filed under the name Hevea brasiliensis (rubber tree). The record is from RNAcentral. Lineage: Eukaryota; Viridiplantae; Streptophyta; Magnoliopsida; Malpighiales; Euphorbiaceae.
UUUGAUCCCUUCAUGUAUCCAUUCAAUGCUAUCAUGCACAAAUCCAUUUAUCCCUCAGUUUACAAAAACCUUAUACCCACCGAAAAUUCCUUCAAUCAGAGCAUACACAUCUUCCUAAACUUCCACAUUACACACGAAUGAUAAUAACAGUCUCUUUUCUCAAUUCUCAUUAUUUCAAGGAAAUAAUCCUUUUAUCAAUUUUAC